Molecule: unclassified non-coding RNA, 247 nt
Filed under: fungal sp.
Lineage: Eukaryota; Fungi
Description: partial internal transcribed spacer region
Rfam family: Eukaryotic small subunit ribosomal RNA (bases 1-46)
Source: RNAcentral
AAGUCGUAACAAGGUCUCCGUUGGUGAACCAGCGGAGGGAUCAUUACCGAGUGUAUCUUUUUACCUCUGAAACCCCUGUGAACAUACCAUUCUGUUGCUUUGGCGGGACUGUCCCGGCGUCUUUGGACCCGGAUUCAUGGCGCCCGCCAGAGGCCAUCAACUCUUGUUUUACCCAUUGUGGUUUUCUUCUGAGUGGCAUAAUGCAAACAAAUAAUCAAAACUUUCAACAACGGAUCUCUUGGUUCUG